CACGUAGGCGGAUUCCUAAGUCGGGGGUGAAAUCCUGGAGCUCAACUCCAGAACUGCCUUCGAUACUGGGAAUCUUGAGCCCGGGAGAGGUGAGUGGAACUGCGAGUGUAGAGGUGAAAUUCGUAGAUAUUCGCAAGAACACCAGUGGCGAAGGCGGCUCACUGGCCCGGUACUGACGCUGAGGUGCGAAAGCGUGGGAGCAAACA
This 206-nucleotide ribosomal RNA is filed under the name uncultured bacterium. RNAcentral describes it as "partial 16S ribosomal RNA". It matches the Rfam family "Bacterial small subunit ribosomal RNA", at positions 568 to 774 of the family's 1533-position model. The record is from RNAcentral.